RNAcentral lists this transfer RNA (71 nucleotides) under Stegodyphus mimosarum. It matches the Rfam family "tRNA". Rfam says of the family: Transfer RNA (tRNA) molecules are approximately 80 nucleotides in length. The record is from Rfam by way of RNAcentral. Lineage: Eukaryota; Metazoa; Arthropoda; Arachnida; Araneae; Eresidae.
GGCACCGUGGUGUAACGGUAGCAUACUCGACUUGUAUUCGAGAGGUCCAGGUUCGAGUCCCGGUGAGGGCA